Molecule: non-coding RNA, 850 nt
Organism: Macaca mulatta (Rhesus monkey)
Lineage: Eukaryota; Metazoa; Chordata; Mammalia; Primates; Cercopithecidae
Source: RefSeq, a predicted model, not a curated record
CAGCGGGUUGGUCCGCUGAGUGGCAGAAAGGCAGACGGGGACUGGGAAAGGCACUGUCGGUGACAUCACGGAGAGGGCGACUUCUAUGUAGAUAAGGGAGCGCAGGGGCUCCUGCUUCCCCACCUGCUGCUUCGCCACGAAGGAGUGUUCCCGUGCCAUGGAGGCAGGUUCAGGACCGCUGGUCGGAACUGAGAGUCCCAGUUGUCUGUCAGGGCAAGAAGGACUCGGGAGUGCGCGGGGCAAGUGACCGUGUGUGUAAAGGGGCCCGCCCGGCAGGACUACUGAGCAAGGCCUUGGAAAACCGGAGAGAUUAGAGCGGUGAGUCGCCGUGGUCACGUCGGACACCUGUGUGUUAGGAGAUUCUGGAGCCAGACGGAGAGCCGAAUGGCCUUCGCCGGCCCUGCCCCUCUCCUUCUUCAGAAGCUCCCAGAAACUCCCCAGUCGGCGACCCAGCCCGAGCCUCCUCGGGUACCAAAUGAAACUGAACGCCCGGUGGGCUCCCCGGAUGGUUCUUCCCGUUGUUUUCGCCGCCUUCAUCCGGUGAGGGAGCCUGUGCCCACCCUGCCCAGUCGCUUUCGAGGCCGCUGUGGCGCUUCCGCUGCCAUCUUCGGAUCCUGUGUUCCGCACGGGGGCUCCACCAGGGCAGGGAUGGUGGCGAGGGUCGCUCGUGGGUCCCCUUGCAAGGAGCAGGGUCUGGCACUAGGCGUCUGGGAACCCUGAAAUCCUUGGAGGAGUAGCAUCAUCAUGACCCUCUGUGUUCCUUUUGGCAAAGGACUUGCUUCCAUUGUUUGUUUGUUCAAUUGUCUGUUAAAUAAAUAAAUAAACCCUUUUUCAUAUAUCUUUAAAAUUA